RNAcentral lists this ribosomal RNA (236 nucleotides) under Skeletonema grethae. RNAcentral describes it as "partial Bacterial large subunit ribosomal RNA". It matches the Rfam family "Bacterial large subunit ribosomal RNA", at positions 17 to 253 of the family's 2925-position model. The record is from RNAcentral. Lineage: Eukaryota; Bacillariophyta; Thalassiosirophyceae; Thalassiosirales; Thalassiosiraceae.
GCAUACGGUGGAUGCCUUGGCAGUCAGAGGCGAUGAAAGACGUGGAAGCCUGCGAUAAGGUUCGGGGAGCUGGCAAACAAGCUGUGAUCCGGGCAUUUCUGAAUGGGGAAACCCACCGACUUUCGGGUCGGUAUCUUGCACUGAAUACAUAGGUGUAAGAGGCGAACCGGGGGAACUGAAACAUCUAAGUACCCCGAGGAAAAGAAAUCAACCGAGAUUCCCUAAGUAGCGGCGAG